This 442-nucleotide ribosomal RNA is filed under the name uncultured bacterium. RNAcentral's name for it is "partial 16S ribosomal RNA". It matches the Rfam family "Bacterial small subunit ribosomal RNA", at positions 338 to 795 of the family's 1533-position model. The record is from RNAcentral.
CCUACGGGAGGCAGCAGUGGGGAAUAUUGGGCAAUGGGCGAAAGCCUGACCCAGCAACGCCGCGUGAAGGAAGAAGGCUUUCGGGUUGUAAACUUCUUUUGACAGGGAAGAGCAGAAGACGGUACCUGUCGAAUAAGCCACGGCUAACUACGUGCCAGCAGCCGCGGUAAUACGUAGGUGGCAAGCGUUGUCCGGAUUUACUGGGUGUAAAGGGAGCGUAGGCGGCCCUGUAAGUCUGAUGUGAAAAUUUGGGGCUCAACCCCAAACGUGCAUUGGAAACUGCAGGGCUUGAGUGCCGGAGAGGCAGGCGGAAUUCCUAGUGUAGCGGUGAAAUGCGUAGAUAUUAGGAGGAACACCAGUGGCGAAGGCGGCCUGCUGGACGGUAACUGACGCUGAGGCUCGAAAGCGUGGGGAGCAAACAGGAUUAGAUACCCGGGUAGUC